RNAcentral lists this ribosomal RNA (451 nucleotides) under uncultured bacterium. RNAcentral describes it as "partial 16S ribosomal RNA". It matches the Rfam family "Bacterial small subunit ribosomal RNA", at positions 354 to 796 of the family's 1533-position model. The record is from RNAcentral.
GUGGGGAAUAUUGGACAAUGGGCGAAAGCCUGAUCCAGCCAUGCCGCGUGUGUGAAGAAGGCCUUUUGGUUGUAAAGCACUUUAAGCGAGGAGGAGGAGCUUCAGGUUAAUACCCUGGAUGCUUGGACGUUACUCGCAGAAUAAGCACCGGCUAACUCUGUGCCAGCAGCCGCGGUAAUACAGAGGGUGCAAGCGUUAAUCGGAUUUACUGGGCGUAAAGCGUGCGUAGGCGGCUAAUUAAGUCAAAUGUGAAAUCCCCGAGCUUAACUUGGGAAUUGCAUUCGAUACUGGUUAGCUAGAGUAUGGGAGAGGAUGGUAGAAUUCCAGGUGUAGCGGUGAAAUGCGUAGAGAUCUGGAGGAAUACCGAUGGCGAAGGCAGCCAUCUGGCCUAAUACUGACGCUGAGGUACGAAAGCAUGGGGAGCAAACAGGAUUAGAAACCCGAGUAGUCC